CAAAGAUAAUUUUGUCCAAACACAUAACGAACUAAAUAGUUUAAACCAAACACAUCAUGUACGGAGUCAAGUGCCUAUUAAAACAACUUUAAGGAGGUCAAGUAUUUUUUAUGCUCAUAAUACCCAAUACCUUUGUCGCCUCUUCAUCCAUACUCCACUUCUGGAAAAAGAAGGAAAAGAACCAAGGAGGCCCUGAAACUGGCAAGAAUUUACUUUUAAGGAUAAUUUUUUCUUCCCAGCUUUGCAAUCUACGUUAUAGACUGUACAGCUUCUAGCUUCUGAUCUUUUGGACAUAAAUCAGGAAUUCAGCUGUUUCAAGGAAACAUGCCCUCAAGAUAUUCAUCAAUGUUUUCAUCAACAUUGUCGUUGUCAUCCCUUGUUGAAGUUGAAGCCUUUCUUCCCUAUAAAGAAACAUGCAAGACAAGUAUAAGGAAGCUAACCCUGAGAUAAGAAAUAAGACAUCGUUUUAGAUAUUUUAUUUUUCAUGUGGAGUUCCGAAAUCAGCAACGUAUUCAAUCUGCUAGCCAACAUACUGAUUCUGCAAAAACUGCAUCAGUUAAAUAGCUAAGCGAGGCUAAAUGGUUUUUCAGACAAAACCCUGGCCACCAAAUGGGAUUUCUCGUCCACUGGAAGACAUGAAACUACUUCACAUCAUCCAUAUCUAUUAUAGUAGAGCUAAAAGAUGCCCAAUACAUGAACAUAUGAGGCCAUGUACCAAAGCUAAAGACCGCGUCUAUUACAGUGAAAAAAUAGCUUCACCAAACUUUUAGCUUCUCUACGUUGUAAUUGAAGUAUUCAGACAUAGCAAUACUAUCUGUACAGAAUUAGAAACUUGGCUAAAGCUAAUUAACACGUGCUUAUUACACAGCUAGUACUUAACAAGAGGUGAAUGCAAAACACAAAAGCAAAAGGUUGCGUCCAAAUUCUCCCAUCAUAAUGGACAGGAAAUAUUGAGAAGAUUCAAGUCAAAGAACACACCAAAAAUUUUUCACAAUCAAAACUAUAUAUCAUAGAGAAAAACUAAUAGAUGCAAGUUCCUGCAAUUAGUAGAUGUCAAUUUCCUACUAUUUCAUGGCUUUUUACUUUUUAGUAAGUCCUUAGUCCAGAUAACUAGCUUUUUUCUAAGAACGGUUUCUUUUAUAUGUUUGCACCAGAGUGAGCCUUGAUAGAUGCAGAAGUUGUAUGCACUCUUUGGUCUUUAAAUAUUUCAAGUAACUUGUAACAGUUAAGACAUGUUCAAUUCAGUAAACAAAUUUUCACAAAUGCAUGACACGUGACCAAAAUUUAUGAAUUUAACUAUAAGAAGGAUCAAAACUUGUUCGAGCUUGCUAAGAAAAUGCUCUAGUGUCAGAGACAAGUUGAGUGAAGACAGCCACCCAUACUUCAUAGGCGUUGAAGAAUUAACUGCAUUAAAGUGCAGAUAUUAAUGUAGGUAAACAGCAUUGUAAUCAACUAAUUAAUUUCAGAAAGCACCAAAAAUUAAAAUCAGCAACAAUUCAGAGAGAAAACUUCAAGUGAAAAUCAGCAACAAAUUGUUCCGAAUAAAUGGAUCACUUUCAAAGUUUCAGUUUCAUUUGUGUUUUUCUUUCUUUGAAAAACUAUCAUGCUUUAAAGAAGGCCAAAAGCGUGCCAUAUUAAGGACACCACUUGCUAAAAAAUCAAGGUCCGAAUGUGUGACCAAAUACUGACACGUUCCUCCUACUCCUGUAUCAGAAAUAAGGACGGCUAAUUAUGUUCUCAACUAUCUAAUUAAGAACCCACUUCAUCCAUUAUUCUGACAUGCAUACUGCCAUACAAUAAAAUUGUUAAUAUCAAACCUGUUCUCUUAUCCUUCCUCCUGUCAUAAUGACUGUCUGAAUCAUCAUCACUUUCUGAUCUUUCCCUGGAAAUAUGCCAGAAAUCAGAGGAAUGAGAAUAAAAGAAUCUUGUGGAUGUAGGUACCAGGUGGCUAAUGAGAUGCACCUUUUCCUUGAAUGCUCUACAUAUUCCCUCUAUACUGAUUGUUUAUCUCUUUCUGGUUCUUGUAAAGAAGCUUUUCCGCACAACUGUUUUGAACAAAACGCAUAAGAUGCAGCUGUCAAAAUGAAAUAUAAAUUUCACCAGGUUGUUAACCCACCAAAUUAUGACCUGAAGAUGAAGUAUUUUAUUUUACUUUUUGAUAUCAAACAUGAGAUUUUAUUAAUGUACAUCCGCCACUGCAGCGGAGAUUGCAUCAGAUGGAAAACAAUCCCACCAAACAGCACGAUGAACAAGGGAAAGAGCACUAAGAGAUAAAAGAUGAGCAGAAACAUUUCCUUUCCACUUAUCAUGUACUCCAGAAACCUGAUCAAAAUAAAAAAGUAACAUUCUCACUUCGAGAACUAGGUGUCCAAUCACUCAGAGAUCAUCUUUGGCGUCAUUAACCUUCCAAACACUAUUAAGAGAGUCCCCUGCAAUGACUAAGUGACUGAUCCAAACAUUGUUCACAAAGAGGAGCUUCAAGAAAAGCUAGAAGCAUAACAUGACUAACAUCUAAGGCAUCAUAAAUUCUUUCUGUGAAAGCUACUUGAACAAUCCCAGAGUGGUCCUGAACUGCAACUCCAAUUCCCGUAACAUCACCAUGUAAAGCCCCAUCCACAUUAAUUUUAAGCACCUCAGACCCAGGUGGUAUCCAUUAUCUUGCCACCAUCCGCCCUAAAUUUGUAUUCAAUCAUGUCAAUAUUUUGCUUUAGGCUAGACAAAUAUUUUUAACACCGUUGACACAGAAUCAUGAACCAGGGAUGAAACUAAAAUGUCUUGUUUUUUUCUGCCCAUUCCUGAAAGAUCCGUAGUUCCCUAAUGUUGUCGGAUCUACGCUAAAUUGAUUUCUCAGAGGUCUUUGUUAAGAGAAUAUAAGUAUUCUUAUAGAUAAUAAAUUAGUAAGGGUAUUCUUGUAAAUAGUUUAUUAGGUUUGUACUCCUAUAAAUACUAAUUGGUCACUUAUAAUACCGUGACUAAAUGUUUUCCUCCCAAGAUACCUGUUGUCAUGGUAUCAGAACAAAAGUCCUAGAGUUAGGGUUAAACAUCUAGCAAAAGUCUUGACGCGAUACUGUUCAUCGCACACUGUUCACGCGAUACUAUUCACGCAUACUGUUCACGCGGUACUGUUCAUCGCACGUACUGUUCACCCGGUACUAUUCACGAGCACUGUUCACGCGCACUGUUCAUAGCGAAUUUUGAUUGCUGUUUUGUUUGAAGUGCUAUUCGCUAUGGUUGAAAGUUUUGCUAAUGGGGUUACCAUUAAUCAAGUUGAAUCAAGUUCUUCAGUACAUGGGUCCCAGAAAACUGUUACUAUAUCCGAGGAAGAUUAUAUUAAAUUCUUACAGUACCAAGCUACAAGUCACGCAUCUCUUCCCUCUGCUUCUUUAGCACAAAAAGGUAAUGACUCAUGGAUUAUUGACUCCGGGGCUACUAAUCAUAUGUCAGGUACCUCUAAAAUUUUUUCUAAUUUUCAAGAGUCUACUUCCUUUCCUCAUGUUACUUUAGCUGAUGGAUCUACCACUAAAGUUAAAGGACUAGGCACUGUAGAAAUUAAUCCAUCACUUCCGCUGUCUUCUGUUCUUUACGUACCCAAUUUGCCAUUUAAUCUAAUGUCUGUUAGUAAGCUCACUAAAUUUCUACAGUGUACAGUUACUUUUUCUCCUGAUUCCGUUGUCAUUCAGGAUUUGAAGACAAAGAGGACGAUUGGUGGAGGGCAUGAGCAUAAUGGUCUUUACUUUCUCAACUUCAAUGGUCCGAUAGCAUGCCCUGCUCCUGUUUCUCCUCUUGAAAUUCACUGUCGUUUAGGUCAUCCGUCUUUACAAAAUUUGAAAAAGUUGGUUCCUACUUUGAAUCAAUUAUCUUCGUUAGAAUGUGAGUCUUGUCAGUUAGGAAAGCAUCAUCGUGUUUCUUUUGCUCCUAAAGUCAAUAAACGGGUUUCUGAACCCUUUUUGUUAGUUCAUUAUGAUGUUUGGGGUCCUAGUCGAGUCACUUCAAAGUUAGGUUUUAAAUAUUUUGUAGUCUUUGUUGAUGAUUUUUCCAGAGUUACAUGGCUUUAUUUAAUGAAAGAUCGUUCAGAAUUAUAUUCCAUUUUUUGUGCAUUUGUUACAGAAAUAAAGAAUCAAUUUGGUGUGCCUGUACGUAUACUUCGCAGUGAUAAUGCGAAAGAAUAUUUUUCCACUCCUUUUAAUACCUUUAUGACUAAGUCUGGUAUUAUUCAUCAGUCCUCUUGUCCUCACACUCCACAACAGAAUGGAGUUGUUGAAAGGAAAAUUGGACAUUUAAUCGAAAUUGCUCGAACACUGUUGUUGCACAUGAAUGUGCCCAAACAAUUUUAGAGUGAUGCAGUUCUAACUGCAUGUUAUUUAAUUAAUCGCAUGCCAUCUAAUAUUCUUGAAAGUCAAUUACCUCACUCCAUUUUUUUUCCUCAUGAACCUGUGUUUAAAUUGCCUCCUCGUAUUUUUGGAUGUGUGUGUUUUGUUCAUCAGCUUGCUCCCGGGGUGGAUAAAUUAGAUUCUCGUGCUAUUAAGUGUAUUUUCUUAGGAUAUGCACGAGCGCAAAAAGGGUAUAGAUGUUACAGUCCAGUUUCAAAUCGAUUUUUUACUUGUGCUGAUGUUACUUUCUUUGAAUCCACUCCGUAUUUUAUCAAACAAAGUAUGUCUUGUGAGUUAGACCAGUGUCCCUCUUUUUCCUCUCCUGUUUUACCAGUCCCUUCCCAUUUAUUACCUGAGUUAUCUAGUCCACCAGAUUCCAUAGCUCGAUUAUCUCGUCCUCAUUUUCAAGUUUACUCUCGUCGUUCCAUGGUUGAGAAAGUUCCUGAUAUGCCACGCACUUCACCAAUUAACUCUCAAUCUUCCAAUCCAGGUAUGACGCCCUCCUCUGAGUUAGAUCUUCCUAUUGCUUUACGCAAAGGUAAGAGAAAUUGUACUUCCCAUCCUAUUUCUAAUUUUGUUUCUUAUUCUCGUCUCUCUAUGUCAUAUUCUUCUUUUGUUGCUUCCCUUGAUUCUAUCUCCAUUUCUAAGUCUAUUACCUAUGCUCUUAAUCAUCCUGGUUGGAGAUUAGCUAUGCAAGAAGAGAUGUCUGCUUUGGAACAAAAUGGUACUUGGGAUCUUGUCCCUCGUCGUUCAGGUAAGCAUGUUGUUGGUUGUAAAUGGGUGUACACUAUAAAAGUGCAGCCUAAUGGUUCUAUUGAUAGAUUGAAGGCUCGGCCGGUAGCUAGAGGAUUUACUCAGGUGUAUGGAGUAGAUUACUUAGAAACAUUUCUCCUGUUGCAAAGAUUACCUCUGUUCGUCUUCUUAUCUCUUUGGCAGCAACUUAUAAUUGGUCAUUGCAUCAGUUGGAUGUGAAAAAUGCAUUUCUGCAUGGAGAUUUGAAAGAAGAGGUAUAUAUGGAACAACCUCCUGGAUUUGUUGUUCAGAGGGAGAAUCCGCGGUUGGUUUAUCGUUUGAAAAAAUCCUUAUAUGGAUUGAAACAGUCUCCGAGGGCUUGGUUUGGCCGGUUUAGUAGUGUUGUCAUGGAGUUCGGUCUGACAAGAUGUGGAGUAGAUCACUCUGUAUUUUAUCGGCAUUCUAAUGCUGGUAAAAUUUUAUUAGUUGUUUAUGUGGAUGACAUUGUGAUUACAGGUGAUGAUGUUGUGGGGAUUCAGAAACUUAAAUCCAAUCUGCAGGCAAACUUUCAGACAAAGGAUUUAGGUCAUCUACAGUAUUUUCUGGGUAUUGAGGUAACUCGGUCUAAAUAUGGGAUUUAUUUAUGUCAAAGAAAAUAUGUACUCGAUAUGUUGAGUGAAGUUGGGAUGUUAGGUUGCCGACCUGUAGAUACCCCUAUGGAUCCUAAUGUGAAAUUAGCAAGAGAUCAAGGUGCAUUACUUGAUAAUCCUAAGCAAUAUCGAAGACUUGUGGGUAAAUUAAAUUAUCUCACUGUAACGAGACCUGACAUUUCGUUUGCAGUGAGUAUUGUGAGUCAAUUUCUUGAUACCCCUCGUACUAGUCAUUGGGAUGCUGUUAUACGGAUUCUCAAGUAUCUUAAGAGUGCUCCUGGAAAAGGGUUGCUGUAUCAAAAUCAUGGACACACUGAUAUUGAAGGAUAUAGUGAUGCAGAUUGGGCUGGUUCUACCUCAGAUCGAAUAUCGACUACAGGAUAUUGUGUGUUUGUUGGUGGUAAUUUAGUGUCGUGGAAGAGUAAGAAGCAAACAGUUGUAUCCAGAUCAAGUGCAGAAUCUGAAUACCGCGCUAUGGCUCACACUGUGUGUGAGUUGGUUUGGUUGAAGAGCAUGUUACUGGAACUUGGGUUUGAGCAUAAACAGACUAUGAAUUUAGUGUGUGAUAAUCAGGCGGCUGUUCAUAUUGCGUCUAAUCCAGUGUUCCAUGAAAGGACAAAACAUAUUGAAGUUGAUUGUCAUUUCAUUCGAGAGAAAUUGCUUGACGGGAUCAUCAAGACAUCUCAUGUACCGUCUGUAGAUCAAUUGGCUGAUGUGUUUACCAAGAGUUUAGGGGGCUUUAGGGUGAAAUAUAUUUGUAACAAGUUGGGUGCUUAUGAUAUAUAUGCUCCAACUUGAGGGGGAGUGUUAAGAGAAUAUAAGUAUUCUUGUAGAUAAUAAAUUAGUAAGGGUAUUCUUGUAAAUAGUUUAUUAGGUUUGUACUCCUAUAAAUACUAAUUGGUCACUCAUAAUACCGUGACUAAAUGUUUUCCUCCCAAGAUACCUGUUGUCAGUCUUAAUAGUAAUGAAAUAUAAGCAGAAGCUACUAAAAGAGCAAUGCUCCUGAGGUAGCAUGGGAAACAUAUUGACCUUAACUUUGAUUUCAAAACUUAGUGGUAGACCCUUUAAGAAUCGGAAGAUAGUUUCAGAACUUAUAGAUCUGAAGUCUGAGAAUGGGAGUUUAGAAGUAGGAUAUGAGGAGAGAGCAAGAGAAUUAAGAAACUCUAGGAAUCCAAACAAGAUUUGCCUAGGUUUAUUUACGUAGUGACGUUGUUCUCAAUUCUCAAGGAAAUCACAAAACUAAAUAAACUCAACAUAACAUCAAAUGUCAACUAGGUUCUGAUCUCCCAAAUACACUUCUUUACAUUGCCAACAAAAGCACUUCUUACUCUAAUGCUAUUAAAAAUGUUGCUUAAAUAUAGAUACCAUAUCUCCCAGCUACACAUUUCCUAACUUCUCAGCUAAUAUAUUAAAGAGAAAAGCUAGUCUUCAAGGCAAAGUCUUCUCAAGGACUAAGAAAACCUUGUAACUAAGUAAACCUAAUCACUACAAGGGCUAAAAGCUAUAGAUUUAAGAAGCCAAAAUGAAUUUGACAACUCCAGCAGUUUAACUUCCUCUAGGACAAAAUACUAAGUACUAUGAUAUCCAAAUGACCCUCAAGCAAUUUGGAAAAUCCAAAAUUCCAUGAGUUUUUAGAAUUAUCCAAACAUCAUUAUAGACUGAACAAAAAGAAAAACUGAAUUGUUCUGUCAUAUCUUUUGUUCUAGACUCUGUACAACAUUUAUACAAAUGAAAUUUGACUUUUGUCAAUUCCAUGAAAUCUGUAAUUUCCUAAAAAUUAGGAACUAAUUUAUUCUAUCCUAAAAUACAUUAGGAGUAAAUUAUUCUAUCCUAAAAUAGAGCAGAAAUCUUGGGAUAUAGCAGAAUCAUGGGAUAUACAUAGAAAAAGAUAUUCUAGAUUUUCAACACUCCCUUUCAAGAUGGUGAAUAGAUAUUUUCCAUUCCCAUCUUGCAUGUAAUGUCUUCAAAGUUGGAAGUUGGCAUUCCCUUAGUUAAGACAUCUGCCAAUUGAUUAUUUGAUGCUACAUAUGGAGUGCAAAUCAUGCCACUGUCCAGCUUUUCUUUAAUAAAAUGUCUAUCAACUUCGAUGUGCUUUGUGCGAUCAUGUUGCACUGGAUUGUGUGCAAUGUUGAUGGCAGACUUGUUGUCGCAAUAGAGUUUCAUAGGUCCUUCCCACUUGAUUUUAAGAUCAUCAAGUAUUAUUUUGAGCCAUAGCAAUUCACAAACUCCAUGAGCCAUAGCUCUAAACUCUGCUUCCGCACUUGAUCUUGCAACAACUGAUUGCUUCUUACUCCUCCAUGUCACUAGGUUCCCACCAAGAAAUGUACAAUAUCCUGAAGUUGAUCUACGAUCUACAAUAGAACCUGCAUAAUCAGCAUCAGUAUAUGCCUCUAUGAGCAAUCCUUCAUUUUUCUUGAACAAAAUUCCUCUACCCGGUGUCCCUUUGAGGUAGAAUAGAAUUCUAUUGACAGCCUGCAAGUGUUUCUCUCUUGGAUCAUGCAUAAAUUGGCUUACUACACUUACAGCAAAUGCUAUGCCCGGCCUUGUAUGGGACAAGUAUAUCAGUUUCCCAACCAACCGCUGAUAUCUUCCCUUAUCUGCUGUGCUAUCAUCCUUCUCUUCAUUCAAUCUCAAGUUAGGCUCAAUGGGUGUGCUUGCUGCCUUGCAUCCAAGAUUGCCUGUUUCUUUAAGCAAGUCUAAGACAUACUUUUAUUGGGAAACAAAGAUGCCUUUGCUUGAGUAUGCCACCUCAAUGCCUAAAAAUACUUCAGCCUCCCUAGUUCUUUAAUUUCAAACUCCUUUGCUAAGCACUUUUUGAGUGUUUCUCUUUUAAUUGGAUCAUUCCCGGUGAUGAUGAUGUCAUCUACAUAUACAAGUAGAGCUGUAACACCUCCUUUUGAAUAUUUUAUGAACAAAGUAUGAUCUCCUUGACUUUGUUUGUAUUGCAUUGCUAGCAUCACUUUAGUAAAUCUUCUGAACCAAGCCCUUGGCGAUUGUUUUAAGCCAUAUAAAGCUUUCUUUAACCUGCACACUUUCUUUUCAAAAAACAUUUCAUUGAAACCCGGUGGGGGUUCCAUGUACACCUCUUCUUCUAAAUCCCCAUGUAAGAAUGCAUUCGUAACAUCAAAUUGCUGUAAACACCAACCAAAGUUAGCGGCUAAAGACAAAAGAACACGCACAGUAUUCAUUUUUGCAACGGGUGCAAAGGUCUCUUGGUAAUCUAUCCCAUAUGUCUGUGUAUAUUCUUUUGCGACCAACCGAGCUUUAUGCCUUUCUAAUGAACCAUCAGCUCUAUAUUUCAAAGUAAACACCCAUUUACACCCCACUGUUUUCUUUCCUUUGGGCAGGUUUACAAUUUCCCAAGUCUUAUUUCUCUCUAGGGCAUUCAUUUCCUCUUUCAUAGCAUGUAACCAGUUCUUAUUUCUAAGUGCCUCUUGUAGUGUUUGUGGGAUUGAAAUGGAGUUGAUGGUGGUAAGGAAAGUUUUAUGUUGUGGAGAGAGUCUAUGAAAAGACACGAAAUUUGAGAUUGGAUGCUUAGUGCAUUCUCGUGUUCCUUUUCGAACAGCAAUAGGCAAGUCUAAAUCAUUAAAUUCACAAGGAGCAGAGUCAUAUUGAACACACAAAGGAACAGAAUUUUCAGUACCUGAUUGUGGUUCAGAUUCUUGGAUUUGCACGGGUUCAGAAAUAUGAACUUUCUUCCUUGAGUAGACCUUGAGUGGUGUAGUUGGAUUUAAACCAGAUUUUCCCUCAGCUCCAAGGUCAGGUUCAAUUUCUUUACUGGCAUGUUCAACUUCAAGUUCAGGUUCAGGUUCACUGCUAGUAUGUUCUCCUUUAGAAUUUGGUGUAUGGUCAGGCUUGAAAGACUUUAAAUUUAGUGUAGGACUUUGAAGAUCAAGGAGAAAUUCCUUAUCUUCCCAAGAACUCUUCCCCUGGAGAUGAGGAUUGUUACUUUGAGAGUAAGGUUCAUUUUCAACAAAUGUGACAUCCAUGGAGGUAAAAAAUUUUUUUGAAGGAGGAUGAUAACACUUAUAUCCUUUCUUUGUGUUUGAGUAUUCCACAAAAAUACAUUUUAAAGCUCUUGGAUCAAGUUUCCCUCUUUGGUGUGCAUGAACAUGUACAAAAGCAACACAACCAAACACUUUUGGUGACAAUGUGCAAGAGACAUUAAAAUCAGGGUAAAAAAAAGAAAGAGCAGCAAUGGGACUUUGAUUAUUUAGUACUUUUGAAUGUACUCUAUUUAUCAAAUGUGCAGCAGUUAAAACAGCCUCCCCCCAAAAAGUUUUUGGAACUUUAUGUUGAAACAAAAUUGCUCGAGUCACAUUGAGUAAAUGUCUAUUUUUUCGUUCAGCAAUUCCAUUUUGUUGGGGUGUAUCUACACAAGAUGACUCAUGUAUUAUACUCUCUUUUUGGAAAAAAGAUGAGAGAAUUUGAUUAAAAUAGUCUCUUGCAUUAUCAGAUCUUACUCUUUUAAUCAAACUUCCAAAUUGUGUACAAAUCAUUUUAUGAAACAUUGGAAAAAUACUGCUUACUUCUGAUUUUUCUUUCAUAAGAAAUAACCAAGUAGUUCUAGUACAAUCAUCAAUGAAUGUGACAAACCAUUUUGCUCCAGAAAUACUAUAAAUUCUACAAGGCCCCCAAAUAUCAAUAUGUAUCAAAGAGAAAGGUCUAGUAGAUCUUGUAUUACUCAAUGGAAAUGAUAGUCUAUGAUGUUUAGCAAUUUCACAUGUAUCACAAUGAAAACUACUAACAUCUUCAUUCUUGAAAAGUGAAGGAAACAUGCUUUUAAGUAGAAUAAAAGAUGGAUGACCAAGACGGAAAUGAUGAAGCCAAAUUUCAGAUUUAUUAUUUGAGGAGCAGGUGAGGGAUAACUGAUUUUUGUUCUUCUUGUUGCCACUCAUCUCCUCGAGGUAAUAAAACCCAUCAUUCAACUUAGCAAGUCCAAUCAUCCUCCCCGUAACUAAAUCCUGAAAAACACAAUGAGUAGAAUAGAAAAUUACUCUACAGUUCAAAUCUUUGGUAAUUUGAUGGAUGGAUAUGAGAUUGGAGGACAAUUUUGGGACAUGCAACACACUAUUUAGGGACAAAGAAUUUGAUAGAUUUACUGUCCCUUGGCCUGCAACAGUUAUAGGAGAUCCAUCCGCAACAGUAAUUUUUCUAUUUCCAGGACAUGGGUUGUAUGUUCUAAAUCUGAUUGGGCUGUGAGUCAUAUGGUCAGAAGCUCCUGAGUUGAUGACCCAAGAGCCUAGAGAAGACAUGCUUGAGGCACUUAAAGCAUAAGAGUUAAGGUACUUACCUGAUUGAGCCAAUGAACACGUACUAGAGGACUUUUCAAGGGAAUUUAAGAGGUUUCUUAGCUUUUCGAUUUCUUCUUUCUUGAAUUCUCCCAUACCAACCUGGUUGGAUUUUUCUUGUGUUUGGUCUUCUCCAGCAGUUAAGUGGGCUUUUCCCCCUUUGAAUCCUCCUUUACGACUAAGGACUUGUUCCUUCCCAUGGAGUUUGAAGCAAUCAUCUCGCGUAUGGCGUGAUUUUUUGCAGUACGUGCACCAAAUUGUGUCUUUAUUUGACUUUGUAGAAAUCAUUGCCGAGCCUUCUAAUGUUUUAGGCUCUAACAUGACUUCUCGCCUAUUCUCUUCAGCUCGAAUCAAUGAUAUUGUCUCAUUCAGAGAUGAUAAUCUUUCCUUCCCCAAUAUCUGGACUCUGACCUGAUCAAAUUCCACAUUCAGACCUGCAAAGAAGUCAUAAACUCUAUCCUUUUCGAUAAAGUUUUUCAAGGUGGCUGCAUCUUCACUACACACCAUCUGAACACACCGAUAUUGGUCCAGUUCCUGCCAUAGAUUUUGCAGAAGGUUGGCAUAUUGAGUAGCAGAAAGGUUGCCCUGUUUAGUGGCUGAGAUCUUUGUUUUGAUCUCAUAGAUUAGGGCAGCAUCUCCUGCCUUUGAAUAGGUCUGUUGAAUAGUAGUCCAUAUAUCUUGAGCUGUUGAUAGGAACAUGCAAGUAUCGCUUAUUUCAGGUAACAUGGAGUUCCACAGCCAUGACAUAACCAUAGAAUCCUCUUCAUCCCAAGCAGCGAAUUUAGGAUCUCCCUAUUUCGGUCCAGUUCCAAGCAAGUGGCUGAUUUUGCCCUUUCCUUUGAGAAAUGUUUGAACAAAUUGUGACCACUUCAAAUAGUUUUUCCCGUUGAGCCUGUAGGCUGCCUGGAUACUUUGCAAAUCCCCUGUUUGUGGAAUAUUUGAGGUCUCUUCUGAUUUGGUAUUGGAGUGGAUUUCUGAUGUUUCAGUUUCAGACAUGGUGGAGGUUUCAAAGAAAAAUUGGCAAUGAAGGCCUAAUGAAAAAAAAAUCAGCAAUGAAGGCUGGAAAUUGCACUUGGCAAUAAAGACUUGAAAAGAGGAAAGCACUCAGCAAUGAAGGCUGACAAGAAGAGGUCCCAAGAGCAAAAGCUCUGAUACCAUGAACAAAAAGAAAAACUGAAUUGUUCUGUCAUAUCUUUUGUUCUAGACUCUGUACAACAUUUAUACAAAUGGAAUUUGACUUUUGUCAAUUCCAUGAAAUCUGUAAUUUCCUAAAAAUUAGGAACUAAUUUAUUCUAUCCUAAAAUACAUUAGGAGUAAAUUAUUCUAUCCUAAAAUAGAGCAGAAAUCUUGGGAUAUAGCAGAAAUCAUGGGAUAUACAUAGAAAAAGAUAUUCUAGAUUUUCAACAUAGACCCCUAUGAACUCUGCAUGAGCUCCUGUUAUUCACCUGUGUCUGUCAUUGAAAUUUAGACAGAUACCAAAAUAAGUUGAGUCUUCCAAUAUUUCCAGGGGACAGAAACACUUGAACAGCAGAUAAGCUUAAUGUGUAAGCACAAAGUAACUACUAAGUAUCACGAUCCAUUGUGCUUCUUGUGCACAAAAAGCAAAAUUUGUGUCAUUUAAAAGAAAUAACUUGAGGCAACCCAGAAACACUUACUUUGUAAAAGUAAAUUUGUUCAUCAUCAGCAAAUUAAAGGUUGUGAUUUUCAGUAACAAAACAACCUAAAAAUGGGUAAACUUGUACGCAAAUAGAAACAAGUAUCUUACUUUUCACAUGUCACCAAUUUCACCAAGGCUUGUUUGUUUUCUCCUGCUUCAAAAUAAGAAAAG
This 12871-nucleotide long non-coding RNA is filed under the name Coffea arabica (coffee). RNAcentral's name for it is "long non-coding RNA (CARA_LNC001736)". The record is from RNAcentral. Lineage: Eukaryota; Viridiplantae; Streptophyta; Magnoliopsida; Gentianales; Rubiaceae.